Molecule: ribosomal RNA, 465 nt
Filed under: Vreelandella stevensii
Lineage: Bacteria; Pseudomonadati; Pseudomonadota; Gammaproteobacteria; Oceanospirillales; Halomonadaceae
Description: partial 16S ribosomal RNA
Rfam family: Bacterial small subunit ribosomal RNA
Source: RNAcentral
CCUAGGGGAGGCUGCAGUGGGGAAUAUUGGACAAUGGGCGAAAGCCUGAUCCAGCCAUGCCGCGUGUGUGAAGAAGGCCUUCGGGUUGUAAAGCACUUUCAGUGGGGAAGAAAGCCUUGGGGCUAAUACCCUCGAGGAAGGACAUCACCCACAGAAGAAGCACCGGCUAACUCCGUGCCAGCAGCCGCGGUAAUACGGAGGGUGCGAGCGGUAAUCGGAAUUACUGGGCGUAAAGCGCGCGUAGGCGGUCUGAUAAGCCGGUUGUGAAAGCCCCGGGCUCAACCUGGGAACGGCAUCCGGAACUGGCAGGCUAGAGUGCAGGAGAGGAAGGUAGAAUUCCCGGUGUAGCGGUGAAAUGCGUAGAGAUCGGGAGGAAUACCAGUGGCGAAGGCGGCCUUCUGGACUGACACUGACGCUGAGGUGCGAAAGCGUGGGUAGCAAACAGGAUUAGAUACCCCAGUAGUC